Molecule: unclassified non-coding RNA, 341 nt
Filed under: soil metagenome
Description: partial contains 5.8S ribosomal RNA, internal transcribed spacer 2, and large subunit ribosomal RNA
Rfam family: 5.8S ribosomal RNA (bases 1-120)
Source: RNAcentral
GAUGAAGAACGCAGCGAAAUGCGAUAAGUAGUGUGAAUUGCAGAAUUCAGUGAAUCAUCGAAUCUUUGAACGCACAUUGCGCCCUUUGGUAUUCCAAAGGGCAUGCCUGUUCGAGCGUCAUUUGUACCCUCAAGCUUUGCUUGGUGUUGGGCGUCUUGUCUCUAGCUUUGCUGGAGACUCGCCUUAAAGUAAUUGGCAGCCGGCCUACUGGUUUCGGAGCGCAGCACAAGUCGCACUCUCUAUCAGCAAAGGUCUAGCAUCCAUUAAGCCUUUUUUUCAACUUUUGUCCUCGGAUCAGGUAGGGAUACCCGCUGAACUUAAGCAUAUCAAUAAGCGGAGGA